UACGUAGGGUGCAAGCGUUGUCCGGAAUUAUUGGGCGUAAAGAGCUCGUAGGCGGUCUGUCGCGUCGGCUGUGAAAUCCCGAGGCUCAACCUCGGGUCUGCAGUCGAUACGGGCAGACUAGAGGUAUGCAGGGGAGAACGGAAUUCCUGGUGUAGCGGUGAAAUGCGCAGAUAUCAGGAGGAACACCGGUGGCGAAGGCGGUUCUCUGGGCAUUACCUGACGCUGAGGAGCGAAAGUGUGGGGAGGCGAACAGG
RNAcentral lists this ribosomal RNA (254 nucleotides) under uncultured bacterium. RNAcentral's name for it is "partial 16S ribosomal RNA". It matches the Rfam family "Bacterial small subunit ribosomal RNA", at positions 524 to 776 of the family's 1533-position model. The record is from RNAcentral.